Long non-coding RNA from Anas platyrhynchos (mallard), 1856 nucleotides. RefSeq lists it as uncharacterized. The record is from RefSeq and is a predicted model, not a curated record. Lineage: Eukaryota; Metazoa; Chordata; Aves; Anseriformes; Anatidae.
UGAUCCAUGCAGAUUUUGAGUUUUUUUGUUUUGUUUUGUUUUUUUGUUUGUUUUUUACCUUUAGCUCUCGGAGCCUCAGGUGACGUAGGAGAAGAAAGGACAGGAUCCUGGGGGCUUACUGGAGCUGGUGUUUUCUACAUCCUCCUCACCAUGAGCCACAGCUGUGUGAUCAUCCUCAGUACUUAGUUCCUAGUUACAACACAUACGGUUAAAGACUGCUUUGUAAAAAGUGAUUUCUGGGCUCCAGUAGACGAUGGGCUGAGGUUGGGGCAAAAUCGUAGUGUGGCAACAAAGAAGUAACAUCAGACGAGGCUGAGGAAAAGUUUUACUGUGAUGUGUACACAACAUCUCCACCACAGUCAAAUACUAAAAACCAUAGUUAACAUCCUGUGAAAUUAAAAACAAUCUUUGUUGUUUGGUUUUCCCCCCUCACUCCUUUCCAGCACACUCAACAACGCAGUAUGAACAGUAGCAGAAGGGCAGCAAGCAGUACGUAUAAGUACAUAUACUUGCUUUGUUAUCAACUCCAAGGCUUUCUCACAUGAAUCAGGAGUUACUCCACCAACAUCAGUGAAAUUAAAUUGGCAUUAGUAACAGUGUAAAUGAGAAGAUUGCUAUGUAUGAGUCACACAAUAUUUAUUAAUUGUGGAAUGUUAUGGGCAGUGAUUUACUAGGCGUCAUCCAAUUAAUUUCUGCAAAUAAUCAGGUAUACGUGAAAGAUUUGUCCUCUUAACCCACUUCCCUAUCCCAAUUUAUUUUACUACUUCAUUUGAACUUGGAUGGCAUAAGUUGGAAUACUUUUCAGUGUGCUAAGGAUUUUAUAAUAUUGAUUCUGGCACUGUCUUUUUCUGGUUAUCAAAAAUCAUAUUAAUAUUCACAAAUAUUAAUUCACAAAUUGGUACUUUUAAAAAGGCACAUGUACAAGCAACACAAAUGAACUGCAGACUUGGUUGGCUGUUAUAUAAAUUUGCAAGUUAACAUGAGGAUGUUGCCUCCAAAAAUUCCUUCAAGCUAAACAAAUCAUGAGAAACUGUCAAACACCGAUACUUUUUUUGUAUAAUCCCUGCUAUGAUAGAUUAUCUGUUAACUGUUUUUUUUAUUCUUAUCUUUCUCCCAACCAUGACCAUCCUCAUUCAUCCUGUUCCUGUUGAUUCCAAACAAUGUCUAAUUUCUUAAGUUUUAGAAAUACUAGGUCCUUCAAUCACUAUUAUUUAAAGUAAUGUGAGCUUAAAUAAAAUUAUAAUAUAAUUUUAUGAAUCAACAGCAGUAUUUCUGCAUCUCUAUUAAAUAUCAUCAGUGUAAUUAUUUGAACUAAGCAUGAGAUGAAGCAUGUCCACUUAAAAUUUCCACUUUAAAGCGCUACAGAAAAUGUCAUUUUAAAUAUGUUAGUGAACUGACAAAUAUAUGGCCUGAUGCCAUAUAUUUGGGUAAAAGUUUAAUUUUGUUUUUAAAAACACUGGGACCUAAAAAGUGCUUUUCUUGUGGAAGAUCUGAAUUAAGCCUUGCUAUACCAUCAUGACCAGGCUGAUUUCAAAAUUAGGUUUUUAAUUAACCUAAUGCUACUGAGAUCAGUCAUGUCCCUUGCAAAAUAACUCUUUCCCAGUCCAGUCAUGGAGUCAGUGUACUUUUCAGGAGAGGUACAGUGCAAAUUUAUUUUAUUUUAUUUUUUAUUAAUCAUUAUGUACUUUGCAUUAGUCAACCUAAUGUUUUGUUUUGUGUUUUUUCUUUUCUUUUUUUUUUCUGAAGUUUCAUUAAAUAAUCAAAUAUUUCUUGUAUCCUGGGUUAAAGUCAACCUGAGGUAAGAAGAAUUGCAUGUUUUUACAUGUGUGAGCUUUUCCUAACAAAAAUAUGUGAGU